GAAACGACUGCUAAGACUGGAUAGGAGAUAAGAAGGCAUCUUUUUAUUUUUAAAAGACCUAGCAAUAGGUAUGCUUAGGGAAGAGCUUGCGUCACAUUAGUUAGUUGGUGGGGUAAUGGCCUACCAAGACGAUGAUGUGUAGCCGGGCUGAGAGGUCGAACGGCCACAUUGGGACUGAGACACGGCCCAAACUCCUACGGGAGGCAGCAGUAAGGAAUUUUCGGCAAUGGAGGAAACUCUGACCGAGCAAUGCCGCGUGAACGAUGAAGUAUUUUGGUACGUAAAGUUCUUUUAUUAGGGAAGAAAAGAUGGUGGAAAAACCAUUAUGACGGUACCUAAUGAAUAAGCCCCGGCUAACUAUGUGCCAGCAGCCGCGGUAAUACAUAGGGGGCAAGCGUUAUCCGGAAUUAUUGGGCGUAAAGGGUGCGUAGGCGGUUAAAUAAGUUUAUGGUCUAAGUGCAACACUCAACGUUGUGAUGCUAUAAAAACUGUUUAGCUAGAGUUGGAUAGAGGCAAGUGGAAUUCCGUGUGUAGUGGUAAAAUGCGUAAAUAUACGGAGGAACACCAGAAGCGAAGGCGGCUUGCUGGGUCUUAACUGACGCUGAGGCACGAAAGCGUGGGGAGCAAACAGGAUUAGAUACCCUGGUAGUCCACGCCCUAAACGAUGAGUACUAAACGUUGGAUAAAACCAGUGUUGAAGUUAACACAUUAAGUACUCCGCCUGAGUAGUACGUACGCAAGUAUGAAACUUAAAGGAAUUGACGGGACUCCGCACAAGCGGUGGAUCAUGUUGUUUAAUUCGAAGGUACCCGAAAAACCUCACCAGGUCUUGACAUGCUUUUGCAAAGCUGUAGAAAUACAGUGGAGGUUAUCAGAAGCACAGGUGGUGCAUGGUUGUCGUCAGCUCGUGUCGUGAGAUGUUGGGUUAAGUCCCGCAACGAGCGCAACCCUUGUUGUUAAUUGCCAUCAUUAAGUUGGGGACUUUAGCAAGACUGCCAAUGAUAAAUUGGAGGAAGGUGGGGACGACGUCAAAUCAUCAUGCCCCUUAUGACCUGGGCUACAAACGUGAUACAAUGGCUGUUACAAAGGGUAGCUAAAGCGUAAGCUUCUGGCGAAUCUCAAAAAAGCAGUCUCAGUUCGGAUUGAAGUCUGCAACUCGACUUCAUGAAGUUGGAAUCGCUAGUAAUCGCGAAUCAGCAUGUCGCGGUGAAUACGUUCACGGGGUUUGUACACACCGCCCGUCA
This 1244-nucleotide ribosomal RNA is filed under the name 'Artemisia scoparia' witches'-broom phytoplasma. RNAcentral's name for it is "bacterial SSU rRNA". It matches the Rfam family "Bacterial small subunit ribosomal RNA", at positions 153 to 1399 of the family's 1533-position model. Lineage: Bacteria; Bacillati; Mycoplasmatota; Mollicutes; Acholeplasmatales; Acholeplasmataceae. The record is from RNAcentral.